Molecule: non-coding RNA, 2743 nt
Organism: Leptonychotes weddellii (Weddell seal)
Lineage: Eukaryota; Metazoa; Chordata; Mammalia; Carnivora; Phocidae
Source: RefSeq, a predicted model, not a curated record
CACUGCAUGUUUUAUCACAUUGCUGUUUAAAAACAAAAGUCACUUUUCACAGACCAACAGCUUCAUUCAAGGAUUCUAAAAGACAACUGAGAAAUCUCUUGUGUCUAAAAAGUGAAAAAUCAAUAUAGGGAUGAGGUAGUUUUAAAGUGUUUUGAAUGAAUGAGUGAAUGAAUGAGUGGCUGAAAUAGCUUGAUCUAUUUGACCUCACAUGAAGAGUCCUGGUCCUAAAUAUUGUGCUCUCUGCUUCCCCGUGCAGAAUUUAAGAAGAGGAUUACCUCAGGUUCCUUACUUCAGUCUCUAUGGAGACCAAGAAGGUGCUUAUGAACAUCCAGGCUCCAGCCUUUUCCCUGAGGGUCCUAAUGACUAUGUCUUCAGUCAUCUUCCACUCCACUCUCAGCAGCAAGUGAGAGCUCCUAUCCCCAUGGUGCCAGUUGGUGGGAUCCAAAUGGUUCACUCCAUGCCACCGGCCCUUUCCAGUUUACAUCCUCCACCCACAUUGCCUCUGCCAAUGGAGGGCUCUGAGGAGAAGAAGGGAGCCUCCAGGGAAUCCUUCCCUAAGGAUCCCUAUGUCCUUUUGAAGCAGCAUGAGAAGCAAUCUCCUCACGUUUUGCAGUCAUCUGGUCCACCUAGCACGCCUUCCUCUCCUCGGCUAUUGAUGAAACAGAGCACUUCAGAAGACAGCCUAAAUUCAACAGAAAGGGAACAGGAGGAAAACAUUCAGACUUGUACAAAAGCCAUUGCCUCUCUCCGGAUUGCCACAGAAGAGGCCGCUCUGCUUGGGGCAGAUCAGCCAGUGCAGGUGCAGGAAGCCCACCAGAAACCCUUGGAAAGUGCACAUGUUAGCAUUAGACACUUUAGUGGACCUGAGCCAGGUCAGCCCUGCACCUCAGCCACCCACCCUGACUUGCAUGAUGGUGAAAAGGACAAGUUUGGUACAUCACAGACUGCAUUAGCUCCCUCCACGUUUUAUGGCACGAGUCGUGUGGAUGAUAAACAGUCGGGCUUUCAUAGCUGCAAAGAGUUACCUUCAAGCACAGAGGGAGGCAAUGAGCCUUCAGCAGAGAAGAGUCAACUACAGUGAUCUAAGAUGCAUGGAGACUUUCAUUUCCACAUUUUCCCAUUUUGUUCUUUGUUUUUGUUUUUCUAGAAAUAGAGGUAAUCAAGUUUAUAGCAUGCCUGUCCUAAGUUACAGUAGUUUGCUAUUAUAUAUACUUUUGUUAUAUCAAAAGAAUUAGGUAAAUUAACAAGUCAUCAUGAGCCUGACCAAAACAAAAUUUGAAAUUAACCUAUUGGGUCUGGUACUUUUAAAAUUGUACAGAUGUUUGUGCCUUUUCUUUACUUUGCUUAUAUUCUUAUAAGCAUUUUUUAGCAGUACUUUGUACAUAUUUUAGAAUUUGUGUAUCUGCUUUGUAAUAAAUGUAAUUUCUUUCCUUUUUUGGACACUUGGAUCUAAAUGAUGUAAAGCAAAACAGCAUCAAUAUAUAUGUGAGGUUGCACUAAAACAUAUUUUUAUAUGAUUAAAACUGAACAGCUUUUAUGUACAGCUCUGAUUCUGUAAUACUAAUAUUUAUUUACUUUGUUUCAUAAAUUGUACAUUUUUUCUUAAUGUUGUGGAUUGCUUUUCUAUGUGAAGCAUGGGAUUUACUGUUGCGUAACUAGAACAAAAAUGUAUAUUGUAAACAAGAUAUUUAAACUAGAGUAUCUUAUUCUGCACUUAUGCAUUAGUUAAAAAAAAGAUAAAGGAUGUAUCAGUCAGUUCUUAACUCUUGUAAAUUUUUUUGUCUCUUGUUUGCUGGAUUGACUAUAACUUAAGUGCUGAUUGUGAUUUUAAACUUAUAGUACCGUAAAGCAUUAAAGUAAACAAUGUGCUAUUGUGAGUUUUUUCAAAGCUUUAUAAAUCAGUUAUAAAUAAUAUUAAAAGUAUUUGGUCUUAUGUGAACAUGUUGAUCUAUAUACUCAUCUAAAAAUAUGGGAAAACAUUCCGCCCCAUGUAAAUAUGUACAAGUGCAUCACUGGUACAAUUUUAUGUAACUCAGUUGGACACUAGGUUGACACAGACCUAUGCUAGGGUGUCUUUAAAAAUUAAAGUGACAAAGCACAUGGGACUGUGUAGAGCUUGGUUAUCGGCCGGCCCGGUGGCUUGGCAGGCAGUGCUGUGCGCUGCCCGUGGAGAAGACCUGGCCUUACAGAUCUCCUUGGUUCUUGCUGCACAAGAUGGUAACCGGAACUAAGGCUGCGACGGAGGGGAUGUGCUUGGACUCUGAGGGUUAGGAGUGGACACAGGGAAGGGGCGUGGAGACCUCUCACCAGCCUUUCCUCUCAGCCAGUCCACAUGGUAACAGGGUGGGCAUCAACUUUAGGGGAAGCCACUUCACCCUCUUGAAGAGGGGAAGAGUGUCAGGCUCCUGGCUAUCUCAGGGGGAACGGGGAAAAGAAGCUUUCCAGGGAAAAGAAUUUGUGGGAGGAUGAUGUCUUUUGUACACAACAUGCAGAAUGGGCUUUGGUUAGCGUGGAAGGUGGGCAGAGCCUUUGUUUGUAGGUCCGGAAGAAUGGAAGAAAGGGAGGGGGUACAACAACAUGUGUGCACACAUGCACAUGUGUGUGCAUGCACACACACACACACACAAUCUGGGUUAUCUUUGUGCUAUAUAGUGGAUUAUAAUUCUGUGAAACCAAGUUUGUAUAUUGAAUUACAUUAAGGAGUGUUCUUUAAAAAGAGAAAUAAAUAUACAAUUACAUGCUU